This 807-nucleotide ribosomal RNA is filed under the name Kocuria sp. RNAcentral's name for it is "bacterial SSU rRNA". It matches the Rfam family "Bacterial small subunit ribosomal RNA", at positions 67 to 883 of the family's 1533-position model. The record is from RNAcentral. Lineage: Bacteria; Bacillati; Actinomycetota; Actinomycetes; Micrococcales; Micrococcaceae.
CGAUGAUGCCCAGCUUGCUGGGCGGAUUAGUGGCGAACGGGUGAGUAAUACGUGAGUAACCUGCCCUUGACUCUGGGAUAAGCCUGGGAAACUGGGUCUAAUACUGGAUACUACCUCUUGCCGCAUGGUGGGUGGUGGAAAGGGUUUUACUGGUUUUGGAUGGGCUCACGGCCUAUCAGCUUGUUGGUGGGGUAAUGGCUCACCAAGGCGACGACGGGUAGCCGGCCUGAGAGGGUGACCGGCCACACUGGGACUGAGACACGGCCCAGACUCCUACGGGAGGCAGCAGUGGGGAAUAUUGCACAAUGGGCGGAAGCCUGAUGCAGCGACGCCGCGUGAGGGAUGACGGCCUUCGGGUUGUAAACCUCUUUCAGUAGGGAAGAAGCGAGAGUGACGGUACCUGCAGAAGAAGCGCCGGCUAACUACGUGCCAGCAGCCGCGGUAAUACGUAGGGCGCAAGCGUUGUCCGGAAUUAUUGGGCGUAAAGAGCUCGUAGGCGGUUUGUCGCGUCUGCUGUGAAAGCCCGGGGCUCAACCCCGGGUCUGCAGUGGGUACGGGCAGACUAGAGUGCAGUAGGGGAGACUGGAAUUCCUGGUGUAGCGGUGAAAUGCGCAGAUAUCAGGAGGAACACCGAUGGCGAAGGCAGGUCUCUGGGCUGUUACUGACGCUGAGGAGCGAAAGCAUGGGGAGCGAACAGGAUUAGAUACCCUGGUAGUCCAUGCCGUAAACGUUGGGCACUAGGUGUGGGGGACAUUCCACGUUUUCCGCGCCGUAGCUAACGCAUUAAGUGCCCCGCCUGGGGAGUAC